Long non-coding RNA from Quercus lobata, 607 nucleotides. RefSeq lists it as uncharacterized. NCBI's taxonomy places the organism in Eukaryota, Viridiplantae, Streptophyta, Magnoliopsida, Fagales, Fagaceae. The record is from RefSeq and is a predicted model, not a curated record. The transcript has 3 exons.
GGUGUCAAAGGAGCACUUCCAGGCUCAGUUCUCUCAUGGGCACAAAGAGUUAAAAUUGCUGUUGGGCAGCAAGAGGACUUGAAUAAUUAGUUAAUUACACGAGAACGCACAACCUCAUAUCAUCCAUCGUGAUAUCAAGUCCAGCAAUAUACUGCUUUUUGAUGAUGAUGUCUCAAAGAUUGCUGAUUUUGAUUUAUCAAAUGAAGCCCCUGAUAAUGCGCCUUCAUUCCACUCGUGUACUUGGCACCUUUGGUUAUCAUGCUCCAGACUAAGAUUUUCCUGGGUCUUUCAGAUAGGUGCUUCUCAUCUUUUUGUGUUUGAUUACAACGGAAAACAUAUAAAAUCUCAAUCUUCAUCUUAUUGAACAAGAAGAAAUAAUGUGUUAAUUUAUUACAAUGAAAGUACUGGAAAGAGGAAAAAGAAAAUGCUGGUCAGGUCAAGAAUCGAUAUGCAAUGACUGGGCAGCUGAGUUCAAGGAGUGAUGUUUACAGUUUUGGUGUUGUCCUGCUGGAACUCUUGACUGGUCGUAAACCUGUUGAUGAUACACUGCGACGUGGACAGCAGUGCCUUGUGACAUGGGUUAUUGGGGAAAAAGAAGAAUGAGAAG